UUAUUAUAUAAGAAGUGCCGUAGACAGUAGGUGUUUUUUAACGUAAUGCUUUUGCAGCCUACCGAGGAAUUAGAAUCGUAGAUUUUUAUCCUUGCUUUUUAUGUCUAGCAAGGCUUUUUAUAUUUG
Molecule: small RNA, 126 nt
Filed under: chicken gut metagenome
Description: Ribosomal protein L10 leader
Rfam family: Ribosomal protein L10 leader
About the family: This family is a putative r-protein leader autoregulatory structure found in B. subtilis and other low-GC Gram-positive bacteria. It is located in the 5' untranslated regions of mRNAs encoding ribosomal proteins L10 and L12 (rplJ-rplL).
Source: RNAcentral